GUUUGAUGAACACUUAGAUGACGAGUCUGAGCUUGCUGUGUGAGGUUUCCUCGCAUCAGCUGUUGUGACGAGUCUUUUCCAAUUUACCAUUCAUGCAUAUCUGAUU
Molecule: small nucleolar RNA, 106 nt
Filed under: Paxillus rubicundulus Ve08.2h10
Lineage: Eukaryota; Fungi; Basidiomycota; Agaricomycetes; Boletales; Paxillaceae
Source: RNAcentral